This 103-nucleotide long non-coding RNA is filed under the name Sus scrofa (pig). RNAcentral's name for it is "lncRNA (ENSSSCG00055004518.1)". The record is from RNAcentral. Lineage: Eukaryota; Metazoa; Chordata; Mammalia; Artiodactyla; Suidae.
GGGGACAACUACAGCAGAAAACAAGGCCUAUACAGGGCAUAAGGACCAUUAGAAAAAUUUACUCCUUCAGAGGAGCGUUGUCUCAGGAUGCGAAAGAGCUGCU